RNAcentral lists this long non-coding RNA (26234 nucleotides) under Vitis vinifera (wine grape). Its description in RNAcentral is "long non-coding RNA (VVIN_LNC005500)". Lineage: Eukaryota; Viridiplantae; Streptophyta; Magnoliopsida; Vitales; Vitaceae. The record is from RNAcentral.
ACAGCACAAACAUCGCUCCUUCGUACACGCUCCCCAUCGGUAGCAAAGUGCGAGACUCCUCCGUUGGGGCCGGGCCUCCGUCAUCCGCCAUGGUCUGCGCCGGAAUGUAGCCGAUGGCGGUGGCGAGUUUGGCCGCGGAUCCGGAGUCGGGCUGGGCGGUGAGGAGGAGGACGCGGGCGCCGCUGGAUCUGGCAACGCCGCAUAUGGCGUCAACGGUGGGGAAGCCGCCGGGGCCUGCGGAGGCGAGGAGGAGGUCGGAGGAGGAGGAGAUGGGAGGAGCGUUGACGUCGCCGACGCAGUGAGCGGAGAGACCGAGGUGAGCGAGUCGCAUACAGAGAGCUUUGAGCAUUAGGCCUUCGCGGCCGACGCCGUGGACGAAGACUCGGCCCUUAGCGGUAGCUGUGAGGGCGAUUUCGUCCACCAUGACGUCGAGAACCGGCGGUCUGGAAGUGGUUUUGGAGAAGAUUGAGCUGAUCUGGCUGCAGAUCUCUGAGGCUAGGGUGGCCAUUGAAGUGGCUGAGGAAGCCAUAGUUCUGAGCGUUGAUGUAAUCUCAGAGCUCUCUGUAUGUACACACAUAGAGACACCCUUAUCCAGGUGACUCAGCCCAACUGCAUGGUUCACUACAUAAAAUGAGUUCCGUACGAAUUUCUGUGAAAACAUAGAAAAAUUAUUAAAAAUCUUAUAAAAUUUUCAUCAGACAUACCUUCCUACGCAUCUUUUAUUCAAUAAUAAAGCCCUGUUUAGCGAUAAUUUCUAAAAUAAUUUUUUGUUCUUUAAAAAAAAAAGGUUUUUAGAAAAUAUUUUUUAUUUAUUUUUGUUGUUUUCACUUAAACUAUUUUAAAAAGUAAUUAUAUAAAUAUAAAAACUAAAAUAUUAUAAAUAAAAUUUAUUUUAUAAAAGUAACAACAUUUCAAAUAUUUAUUUUACAAAACAUUAAAGAUCAGGUUUUUCAAAAGCACUUAUCAAACAUUUUUUUCAAAAUUAUUUACGAAAACACUUACCAAAUAAAACCUUUUUUUUUCAUAAAAAAGAAUUUAAUAAAAAGUUAAAUUUUAUGAAAAUCAACAUAAUAUAACUUAUAACUUAAGAGAACUUUUUUUUAUAAUAAAAAUCUAGUAAAAUCUUGAAUAAAAUAUUAUUGGACUUUAAAUAUUUACUAAUAUAAUAUAACAUUUAUUUAUAUAUAAAAUAUUAAAUUAAAAAAAAAAGUAAAUCAGAAGUUUGUUGCUAUAAAUAAUGUUGGUAUUGGGUAUAACGGAUAAAGUUGAUAUUACAAAUUUGAAACAUUAUCUCUUACCUACUGAAAAUAACUAUCUCCAUUAUUUACUUUUCUUUUAUUUUACCAACUUUCACCAAUAAAUUAGUUGUAAAUAAAUUUUUUUUUUUUAAAAAAAAUACAAUAAUAAGUGAAGUUGUUCUUAAAGGGAAUCCUAUUUCAAACAUACUCAUUCUAAUUUUUUAAAAUAAAAAUAUGAAUUAUAAAGUGUUGGCUUAAAUCUUCUUCCUAUUUUUGUUUAUAAAUAAAUAAUAAUAAUAAUUUUUAUAUAAAAUACAAAGAAAAAUAGAGACUUGUAUAUAAGAAAAAAAUAAUAAUAAUUUUAAAAUUUGUUUAAAAUUUUGAAGUAAUAGAAAUUUUCCUAUCUCGAAUUUUAAAAUUUUUGAAAAUGAAACAUAUAAUAAGUGAUUCUUCCAAAAAUGAUUUUAGAAAAUAAUUCUCUAAAAAUCACUUCAAAUAGAAAUUCGGUGGAUAUAUUCUUAAUCUUAAGUCUUAUUAAAAAAAAAAAUGAAAAUAGUUUAUAAUUACAAAUAAAUUAAAGAAUAAAUAUUUUUUAGUAAAAUAUGAAUAGUAAUAUUUAUAAAUUAUAAUCAUAGAUUAUUUUUCAUUUAAAAAAAAUAAAAAUAUGGAUAUUAUCAUCUUUGUAAAAGCAUAAUUAAAUUUUUUGUUAAAAAUAAAUAAUUAUAAUUUAAAAAUAAUAAUUAUUAAUAAUAGUUUAUUUAAAAUGAAUAAUGAAUAAAUUUUAACUUUUCUUAAUAUAUAAAUAAAUGAGCCAAGUUUUUUAUCACAUGAUACAUUUAGUACUCCAUUACGAACACAAUAUUUUAUGAUGUUUUAAUUUAACCUAUAAUUAAUUGGAUUGUAUUUUGAAUUUCAAAUUAUUUUUAAACAUUUAAAUAUUGAUCAUAUCUCACUUAAUUUAGAAUUCAUUAACUUCAUAAAAAAAUUUUAAAAAUAUAGUUGUGUAUAGGAGAAAUAGUGAAGUCAUGAAUUUCAAAUUAUUUUUAGAAAUUAUUAAAUUUGUUAAUAAAUCUAAUCCAAAAUGUGACUUAAUUUGAAAUUUAUUUAUCUAGUGAGAAAAUUUUAAAAAAUAAAAUUAUGUGUAGAAAAAUAAUAGAGCCAUUGUGAAUCAAUUUUUAUCCAAAUUUUUUGUAUUAAUAAGUUCGCUAUUUGAGUUUCAAAUUAUUUUUAAAAAUUAUUAAACUCAUCAAUGGAUCCAAAGCAUUAAUUAGUCUUAUUUGAUUCAUUUGUCUAGUAAAAAAAAUUUCGAAAAUAUAAUUUUACAUAGAAAAUAAAUAAUAGUCAUUCUACACUAAUUUUUGUACUUAAAUUUCUAAUAUUAAUUGGAUCAUUGUUUAUGCUUUAAGAUAUUUUUAAAAAUGAAUAAACUUGUAAUAAAUACAACACAUUAAGUUUUACUUGAUUUGAAAUUUAUUUGUCUAGUAAAAAAAAUUUCCAAAAUAUGAUAUAUGAAAAGAAAAAGUUAGUCAAAUCAUCCAAAAUAAAUUUGGGUCUUUUAAUUUUACUUAGAGAGUGUUUGUUUUUUUAGUUUUUUGUUUAAAGUAAUUUGCUUUUAAACUUUAAGUUAUUUAUUUUUUAAAUUUUUCAUAACUUAUUACUUAAAUUUUAAUUUGUUUAGAUGAAAAAAAAAUUCAAAAUAUUUGGCAUUUUCUAAAUGGAAAAAGCCACAUUUUGAAGCCCCUCAAAACAUGGUUGUGACACCCCAACCCCUGACUCUCACCCUAUCUGUGUAGCUUGCUUGCCCACUGGUUCCAUAGCCAUUACCAACAUCCAACUUUCUUGAGGUAAUUUCUUCCCUGUUUUCUCUCUCUAUUUAGGUUUCUCAAGGUGUAAAUUUCUCAUUCAUUCUCCUUCUUUCUCUGUAAAAUAUGUGAACUUCUUUCAAUAGGGCUUUGUAUGAUCUAUGGUUUAUUAUGUUAUUAGGAUCUUGUGGAUUGCUUGAUUGUUGUGAUUUUCGUGAUUUGUUUGGUUAUUAGGAUUUUGUGGUUUGUUUGAUUAUUGAAACAUAAAGAAAAAUAGAAGAAAAAUGGGGUUUAGGGUUGCAAAUCUUUUUCUAAAAAAUGUUUUGGCAUUAUAAGAUAUUUAAUUCUUACACUCAAUUAGUUUGUACCGAAACCAGUGUUUGAUCUUUUGUAGAUUUUUUGAAAGUUCUGCAUUGUUUACAAAGUUGGGUACUUUAAAUUUCAGUGGUUACUCUUAAUUCUUAAGUGGGGUUUCUGUAGAUUGUUGAUGUCUACUUGUUUGGUUAGCCUUUCUGAGCUUUGUUCCCUAUACAGAGGUUUCAAUAACAAUUCCCAUAGAUCGUAGAGUAGAGUUGUUAUUUGGAUAUUGUUACCUUUUAAGGACAAAACCUCCCAACAAGGAUUCAUUUAUACCAUAUACAUCUUCUUGCUAGUACUUCAUCCUCAAAGCUAACCUUAAUUCUCAUUUGUUGGUUAUAUAUUUUAACAUUUUAUGUCUUGUUUCCUUGCCAAUCAUGAUCUACUCAUAGUCGACUCCUUUUGCCUUUCCUUGUUAACUUUCCCUUGAAAUAGUUUAGUAAACUUUCAUUAAUUUAUCAGUUUGUAGUUGCCCAGGAUUUCUUUUGGAAUUGGGGAGUUGAAAAUGUUGCUUGGAUUCUAAAAGGUUUUUGGAAAAAAUAAAUUUUGUAAUUUGUUAUGUUGAAUUUAGAAAAUCACUUUGGAUUUAGUAUUUAUAUUCAAAUCUGAACUAGGUAGGAGUAGAUAUGUUAGAUUGCUCAUUUUAUAUACUUAAAUUUUUUGGGUCAAAAAGAUUCAAUCCUAGCAAAGAUAUGCUUCCCACUACCACAUGGAGUAUGAUAUAAAAAUAUACCCAGCCAACCAAAUGAUAUGCCAAGUUUGAUACUCGUUUUGUAAGAAGAAAUAUGUCUAGUACAAGAUGUGUUCAUCUCACUUGUUUUUUUAGUUUAAAAAAUGGUUUUUUAGAAUAGCUAUCAACCUCUGUCCUGGUGCUGUUAUAGUUUCUUCCACAAAUUGCAUAAAACAAAUGUAAAAUCCCAAUGAAUGAGAAUCACAGUGGAACACAUUGGUGAGCUAGCCUUUAUUUGCAACUCUAAUACAACUAUUUCCUGUCUCACUAUAUGAUCUUCUCCACUUCCAAAGGCUUUUUACGAUCAGUAACAGGGCAAUAAAUUAGUCAUGGUAGCAUCAAAGAACUUAUUCCCCAUGAGAAACCACAAUCAUAUGCUUUAGAACAAAGUUAAAUUUGGGUUGAUGAUAACUUAAUCCCCUGAACAAAGGAACAAAAUAGGAGCUUAAUUUUUUAGAUCUUUGUUGUGUCUUUUUUCUUGUUUAGAGUAGAAUAUAAUCACAUACUUGCCAGAGAUCAUGAGAGUAAUAGAAAUUCCCAAACACAAAAUGAGUUUUCCAAGCACAGCCUUGCUAAAAUGGUUGGUGUGGUUUAGAUUAUGGUUAUAUUACAUUGACAUUCUUAUGGCAUAUUGAUUCAGAUCCAUUCAUAUGACAUAUUUGGUCAUGUUAUAAGUCUCUGAAUUUUUUUUAGUACAUGAUUAAAGUGUCCCAUACCUGUAUAGUGCCCCCACCAUGUUCAGAUUGCAUGGUGAUCAUGAACAAUUUUCAUACAUAUAAAACAACUACCUAGGGAAAUUCUGAAGUUUAAUUACUCCUACUGCAUUCAUGUCUAUUCUCAACAUUUUGUCUGACCAACCAAUGUUGCAAUUUCUUCCAAGAAGAAACCAAACCCACAUAGAUCCUCCUAUUGUUAUGGAGGAUAGCUUUUAUUUCCUGCAUCCUUUAUUUCUUUUAUAGUUCAAUGGAAUUGUUGUUUCUUAUAAAGGGAAAAAAAUAGUGUUGUUUUGCUACUAUGUACUCUUUUUCCUGGACUCAUGCAUGGUAAAUGUUUGUUUUUAUUCAAGUUGUAGAGUUUGUUGAUGUUUCUUCAUUGUCAUAGGACUUUUAAUGUUCACUGUUUGCUAGACUGUAGGUAGGUUUUAUGAAACACUGAUUAGAAGUUCUCUAAUAAUUACAAAUAGAAGGAAAAAAAAUAUGAUAAUUAAAAUUGCAUGAUUGGUUGAAAAAUUGAUUGAUAUAUUUAUCAAAUUAAUUAACAGGAGGGUUGUGGUGCUUCAAACCAUGUUAACAAGAAAGGAGAACUUAUUCUUAUUUUUAUUUUUAUUUUUUUUAUAUUGCAAUAUUAUAAACCAUGCAUGCUUGGAUCUUUACUUAUCCCUCCCCAUUUUUCAAUUUAUACAUUUACUUGGAUUACUUGGUACCUUUAUGUCUCUUUUGCAUUUUUUUUCUCUACAUUUCUAAUUAUUGUUUCAUACUCGGUGCAACUCAUUCUUUAAUACUACUAGUUGAAUCUAGUUUUCAAAUCCCAUUAGAUAUUUUUAUUCUUUGAAAAAUAAAAAUUAAUCAUUAAUGUUGAUUGGUUUUUUGUACAGUAAUGAGUCAAAAUGUUGAAACCAGUAAGGCAAAUUGGACUAACCCCACCCAAAGAAAACACUUUAUUGACCUUUGUCUUCAAAAGGCAAAUAAAGGUUUUACAUGAUCAGGUGGAGGUUUAAAGUCUAGUGCUUGGCCUCAAAUUGCUGAAAAGUUGGAGAAGUUACUUGGAAAACGCGAUACUUGGAAACAACUUAAGAAUGAGUGGGAUUACAUGAAAAUACAAUAUCUCAUUUGGAGUAAAAUGAUGACUAUGACAGGACAUGGUUAUAACUCUAUAACCAAAACUUUUGAUUGGCCAGCUGAAAAAUGGGAAGAAUAUCUGCAAGUAGUUUUCUUAUGGAUUUGAGUGAAUUUUUAAAACAAUUGUCUUAUAUAUGUAUAUAUGACUCUUUUUUUUUUUUGUCUUAUAAAAUAGAAAUAUCUAGAAGCUAACAAUUCCUUUUUAAACCACUAGCAAAUGUGGAGGAAUUAGAGGCAUUGUUUGGAAGAGUGUUAGCUACUAGGUCUAAAAAUUAGAGAUUUGGAGGAGUGAUAGCGUUUGGGGUUGAGGAAUCAUCAACACAUUCUACAUCUUUGCCUAAUGAAACUUUGAUUAACUUAGAGGAAGAUGAGAAUUUGCCAAGUAAUGCUAAUGAUGAAGUAUAAGGUUCUAAGAAAAAACAGAAGAAAUGAAUAGAAUAAUGAAUAUGUUGGAGAAUUUUAAAGGACCCUCAGUGAAGGAAUGCAUGAAGAUUUUGAGGAGAUUGUUGACUUAUGAGGAUCAAUUAUAUUAUGUAGCAAUUAAUGUGUUUUACAAGAAGAAAUAGUAUAGAGAGUUGUGGGUAGAUAUAGAAAGUGAUCAAGAGCGAAUGGGAUGGAUUCAAAGCUUGUGAAAAUGACUUUAGAUAUUUGUUUUGGAUUUAUGAAAUGCAUUGAUAUAUUGCUUAUAUGAUGAUUGUAAUGUGGUACAUUUGGUUUGUUUAUUUUGGAUCUUGGAUGUGUUUCCACUUUUGCAAUUAUAAGACUUUCUCUUUACAUUUUAUUGAGAAGACUCACUCCUAUAUUACUUUCUUUACUAUGAUGAUUUGAAAUAGAUGUGAUAUAAGUUGUUAGUUUUUCAUAGUAAUGGAAGCAUAAUGCAAUGAUAUAAGUUGUUACUUAUACAUUGUUAUAAUUAUUUGAUUAUAUUGUUAUGUUUCUGUUUCAUAAAUAUUGUCUUUUAUAAUAGAUAUUCUUAUGGAGAAUCUUUCACAUCACUCAAACACUUCAAGUUCUUCAUCAGCAAGUGAAGAUGAAGAUACAAAGUUAGAAGUGACAAGAGUUUUAAGAAGGAGAUUGAUUGUGUUAUUACUCCAAUUAUUAAGUGACUCAUCCAUUAAUAAGGAAUGAGUCUCUACAUCAUCAUUUAUAGGUUCACUUUUCAUUCAAGAACUUUUAGAUGGUUCAUCUAGCACAUGUUAUGAACUAAUGCGAAUGAAAAAACAUGGAUUUAUUUCUCUAUAUCACAUGUUUCGAGAAAAAUGAUGGCUUGUUAACGGUAAACAUUUGAAUGUUGAAGAGAAAAUGACCAUGUUUUGAAUGACUAUUAGUCAUAAUCUUUGGAAUCAAUUAAUUAAGAAUAGAUUUCAACACUCGGAUCAAACAAUUCAUGAAUACUUCCAUGAGGUUUUAGUAGCCAUGGUGAAUUUCUUAAAAGAGAUGAUAUCUCCUUCAUCAUUCAAUGAUAGUUCAAAUGGUAUCUCUAAUCAUCAUCUAAGACAAAUUUUUAAUGUAUAUUAUUUUUUAUUACUAAUUAUUCAUAUCAUAUUUGUAUUACUCUCAUUUAAAAAUAAUUAUUUAUAUUUUAAAGAAUUAUUAUCAUGUAAGAUGUUGUGGGUGCAAUUGAUGGAACUCUUAUUCAUGCAUGCAUUCCUGUUGAUCAACAAGUACCAUAUCAAGGUCGUGGGAGAGGAGAAUAUUUUCAGAAUGUUAUGGUAGUUUGUGAUUUUGACAUGAUAUUUAGGUAUGUUGUUGUUGGAUGGGAAGGAACGACUCAUGAUUUAAGAGUCUUGAUAGAAACUAUCUGUAACCCACAACAUAAUUUUCCAAUGCUCCCAUAAAGUAAAUAUUUUAUUUUCAUUUUAUUUAAUAUGAUUUUGUAUUUAUUCAUAAUAAUAAUCAAUUGAAUUUUUUUUCUUUCAAAAAAGUACUAUUUGGUAGAUGCAGCAUACACACACUCGAGGUUUUAUGGCACCAUAUCGUAAUGUACGCUAUUGGUUGAGUGAUUUUCAUAGUUGUGGUAAAGUUGUAGGAAAAGAGGAGAUAUUCAACCAAUGUCAUGCAAGAUUAAGAAAUGUCAUUGAACGUACUUUUGGUGUUGUUAAGGCGUGUUUCCCAAUAUUGAAGAGAAUGACACCUUAUUCUUUUAUUACUCAAACAAAAAUUGUCAUGGCAUGCUUCUCCAUUCACAAUUUUCUUCAACAAAUCUCAAUUGUGGAUAUAUUAUUUUUUGAAUAUGACAAUGAAGUCGAAUUGGAAAGUGAUAAUACAAAUCAAAAUUAGAAUUCAACUAUAGACAAUUUUUUUUUGCAAUAUUUGAUCACGAGACCAAAUUACAAAUGAAUUCUUUCAUGUAUUUAAUUAGCUUGUCAUUUUUAGCUUUUACUAUUUGUAAACUAUUUGUAAGAAAUGUAAUUUUUAGAUAUUAGUUAAAAUGUGAUGUCUUUGGAUAUUUGAAAAUAUGUAUUUGAAUUGUUCUAAUUUUUCUUUAAUUUGAUUCAAGUUUUAUCGAUCAAUUAUUUUUUAGAUUAUUAAAUUUAAAUAUUUUGUUUUAAUUAUAUAAAAAAUAAACAUUUUUUUUUUGUAAGGAUGAUAAUGAUAAAUUAUUUAUUAUAAUAAUUUUAUUAUUUUGAUUUUUUUUAAGAAAUAUGUUAAAUUAAAUUAUUUUUCUUAAUACAUUAAGAUGUUAAGAUAUUGGUUUUUAAAAUCUAAAAAACAAACAGCUUAAUAUUUAAUAAAAAUAAAAUAUUAAAAAAAAUUGAAUACUUAACACUUUUAAGCAUUAUUUAGUAUUAAGUUAAAUAUAAGUUCUAUUUAAAAUUAAGCCAAAAAAACAAACACCAUAUAAGUUUUAUGAUUUUUUAGUAUUAAUUAAAUCAAUUUUUAAGUUUCAAAUUAUUUAUAAAAAAUAAUAAAAUUUAUGUAUCAAAUAUAGUUUGAUUCAUAAUUUAUCUACUUAAUGAAAAAUUUUAGAGAAGUUAAAAAAAUAGAAAAAAAACAUGUAAUUUAGAAGAAAAAAAAAUAUUUGAGGAUUUUCCAUUGUCAAUAUCAUGUUUGAUUUUAUUUUUUUUUAUGGUUCUUUUUUUUUUUUUUAAAUUCUAUAUUUUUAUUUUAUUUUUAUAAGCAUUAAAAACAACCUCUUUUUGUUCAUAAAACUGUUAUCUAUUUCAUUUCAAAAGGUAAUAUUCAACAUAAUUCAUAACAAAUUUAUUUAAUAUGAUUUUUUUGUAGCUAGAUGUAUCAUGUACCAUGUGUAUCAUGGCACAAAUUUGAACACUCUUUAUAUGUAGAUAUAAACAUAGCAGUUCAACUCACAUAUGGCACUGAUGUUUGACAUGACAUAUUGAUUGAGACAUAAUAAUAGCUUAAAUUCAAAUAUGAAAUUGCAAAUUAAUUGCCUGACGUGACCAUUUAAAAAAGAUGGGUCAAUCAUGCUUCCAAGUCUAGAAGAUAUAAAAGAUGCCAAGUCUAACGUGGACAAAAAUGCAUUGCUGAGAUAGGAGAUGAUGUGAAUAAAAGGCUGAGUUGGAAUAAUGGCAAACCAACGUUUAAUGGAAUAAUAUCAUAUGCCUGCCCAAACAAGGCCUUAUAGUUGUUGAAGUUCUAUUCUCACUUCCUCUCUUUCUUUUUUAUAGUGGUUUUCAUAUCGUAUCCCGUAAGCAAUUUUUCAUACCAUAUUCGAUAAGUAAUUACAUUACAUGUAGCGUUACACGAAGCCGCUCUUCAUCUCCAUUUCAAUUUAUUCAUGACUCUCUUGAUUCAAUUCCCAAAGAGGCCCAAGCCUGUACCUCCUUCAACCAUAACUUAGGAAGCUUCAGUGCUCUGUAGACCGAAGAUCCACGCAGCUGAAGCCAACCAUUUUUCUCAUUCCAGCAACAAGAUCAAGAUCCUCAGCCUUGAUAUUUUGCAUCUAACAUAAAUUCUGAAGUUUAAUAAUUGUUCAAAUCUGUGAAAUUAGGAAGGUCCAACACUAUGUGCCUGAAUGAUGGACAUAUAUAAAGCCCAAUUAAAACCCAUGAAAUUCUGCUGGAAAGCAAGCUUGUCAGAUGACACACCAAGAAGAAAAGCAUCUUUACAAGAAAAUUGCAAAAAGCAAAUUAAAAGAAACAUGGAGUCAUAAGAGUCAUUUGGCACUAAAAUACCAGAAAAUUGCAGAAAAUUAAGGCCAGUUAGCUAUGCUUGUGAGCUUAAACCCCAUUGGGCGGUGCUGAUGGUUUCUUAGGCAAAGUUGAGCUGCCUUCUUUUGAACGAGCCCUUGCUGAAGAUGAAUCGCAUCUUCCUCCAUUUUCCUUUCCCUCAUUGUCCUCAUCAGCUUCAUCCUCCAUAAAUGAACCCUGUUUCCGGAGUUCUUUCACUUUUCGGAACUCAUCAUAGUGUGCUCGCCGGUGCUCAUUAAAACUCAUACCGUUCCUGUCUGUUUCGAAGUCUAACGGCAUUGAAAAAGGAGAGCAAAAAGAAAAGGAAAACAUAAAUAAUUGUCAGAAUAGGGGUGGUCCAGAUUAAUUCAAAACCAACCAGAUGAUACUUUAAUUCUGAUUUGUUGGUCACCAUGAUACAAGAACUUUUUACUUGGAUACUUUUUCCUUCUUAGAGCUGCUUCCAGAUUUCCCAUUAGGCUUAUGAAUAAUAAAGCUAUCGAUGAAAUAUGUUGUUUCAUUUGAGAACACAAACAAUGAUGGAUUAUUUAUGCUGUUGAAAAACAUGAGAAUGUUGAAACAGAACAAGAAACAUCUAAGAGUAAUUGGUCUCAGACCUUCAUCAUCUUGUUCCAUUGCAUCUGCCUCAUCGUCAGAUGAUGUCCAGCCACCAGAGAGAGAAGUGUUUCUACUUGAAGAAGCUACAUCAUUCAAAGCAUUUCGUAUUGCCUCUGCAUGAAUGACAUUAUCGCAGCCAUCAUCUAAAUCACCGCGUAUGGGAGAUACAGACCCUAUAUUAAUUAACAAAAAUCAGCUGAUACUAGGGGAGAUAGCAAUACAAUUUUCACACAUAAAAGCUACAGAAUUAGACCUGACAAUGGAACAGAAAUGAUCAAAAUCUAAACCCAAACAAAGCAAAGUGAAUAUCACUUUUAAAGCCAAUCCAAGAAAAACCAGAAAUCCAUGCCUUCACAGUAAGGGUAGAUUUGGGGGUGAAAGUAGGUACACACACUUGCACAUAUACAUAACCAUUUGAUGUACUUUGUAGAAGGAAAGAGAAACUGAGAUCAACAUACCAUGUUCAUCAUCCUCAUCAAUCAUGGGGUGAUAAGGUGUCUUGGGUUCAGUUAUUUUCUGCCUCACAGGUUUGUUUGCCUCAAUUUCACCCAGAUUAGCCUCAUCCCAUCUUACACGUCCCCUGUUAAACAUGCUGGUAUUAGUAUACCUAUCACAUUAACCAUUUAAACAUGGAUUAAAUGGAUAAUAUCAAGCAGCAAACUACCUUCAUAAAACUAUGCAGAUGAUAGAACAUGCUUAUAGCAGAUCAAGGACAAAAAAGGGAAAAGAGGAAACACCCAAACAAUGUUGUUACCCACACCACUAGUCAAUCGAACAUUGGCUGACUGUAGAUUAUCAAGCUAAUUUAUUCUCCCACCUCAAUGAAUUAAAGCCAUUAAUUAAAGGCUUUCUUCAUUAACAUUCAUUAGCAUAUGGCACUAAUCAAUAAUCCUGGAGUAUGUGACAUUCUCUUCCAGUAAAUGGUUGAAGUUCAGAAAAAUGCAUUCACCUGAUUGCAUUGAUCCUUGGUUUUAUACAACUUGCCUGAGAAGGACAACUGUUCAUGGAUCCUUACCACUUUAAAUGAGACAUCUUCCAACCACUGAGACCCAUGUUAGAAAACAAUGUAUCUUAGGCAACCAACCAAAGCUACAGUGAGGUGGUUGGCGGUUCUGGAUCCUUAACACUUUAAAUGAGACAUCUUCCAACUAUUAAGACCCACAUAAGAAAAUGAUAUGUAUUAAGCAACCAUCCAAAGCUUAAGGCCAGAUGGUUGGUGGUUCCAGGUUCACUGACCAGCUCACAGUGAAAUGUCUCAACUACAGAAUUAUGUGCAUUGGAACUACUAGAAUAAACAACCUUAAUACAACAAAAAACAAAAAUCCUAAUUGAACCAGAAUACAUAAAAAAGGAUGGUAUGGAUUACUUCAUAUCUUUGAACUGAUAAUCCCCUCAAAUACGCAAAGCAGACUGAGCAGUCGCUUAUUGACUUGCCUUCACCUGAAAUAAAUUUUUAAACAGAUUUUUAAAACUUCAGGAUCAAACAAAAGGAACUUAGUGUUGCAUAAUAAGAUAAAACAUUCAUAGCAAAGUAAUAGAUUCUAUGUUAGUUAUGGCAGUCCCCUCUUGGCCUAUCUAUAGGGCAGCAUGUGAUAGGUGAGGAGGAGAACUUUACAUUAAUAGAUGCAAUGGGAAAGUAAAAUAAUCCAUUAAGCAGAAGGGGGAAAUUUGCAACAAAAAUGUGAGUACAAAACCAAGCAGCAGAGAGACAACAAGGCAGCACUGUCAUCAAGUAAAAAAUUGGGAAGAACGAUGGGGUAGAUUAGAAAGCCGUUUGCAACUAAGAAUGGUCAAGGGUCAGAAGACUAAACAUAUAGAAUAAGAAUUUAAGGAAAGAAAAAAUAAUAAGAUAUGAAUAAAGUAUUGCAUGUAAUAGAAAAGGAAAUAAAAAUAAUGAUCAACUGCCUCAUAAUGUGAAUGAAACAAGACCAACUUGAAAAUUCAAGAAUAGUUAACAACUACAUUAUUUUUAACACCAAAACUUGUAAUGAAGUUAUUCUGGAAAGGACAAAACCCCAAAUAUAAGGUUUUAAUGAAACAUAAACAACUAAAAAUUGAGUUUCUCAUGUAAUCUAGAAAUUUUUAGGCACAAGUAUGCAAUUCCCCUCAUGUUAUUUUUGCCUACAUUUGUCUCUCCCUAUCAAUUACAGAAUCCCCUUCUGGAAACUAAUGAUUCUAACUUAAAUGUAGAAACAAGUCAAUGAAAUACUCAAUCAAGAAUCAAUAUGCAGAGAACACUAAAUGAGCACUUGGUAUAUAUGUGAUAAAAAAUCCACCCCGUAUCACAAGUUCUCAUAGAUACCAUACAACAAAGGCCAUAUAAAUUCAAUGAACCCUAAAAUUCAUAAAAAAACGUAAGGAAAUGUUGGAACAUCCCAUGAAAAUUCAAUGUUCCCAUUCUAUUUUAUAUACCAAAACUAAGACCAUUACAAAACCCAGAAUCAGUCAACACAACUGAUAGUAGAAUUUUGAAAUUGUGCCAUUUCAUGACAUUCUAAACCUGAAUCCAUCCCAUUAAUUGUACUCCCCCACCCCAACAAAAAAACAAAAAUGCAAUGGAGCCAUUCAAUUUUCAAAGAGGCAACCAAACUUCUAGACCAGAACACCAAAUCCAAAUUCUAAAAAACCACACACCCCUACUCAACUCUGUACUAGGAUAUUAAAAAAAAUAAAAAAUAAAAAUAAAAUAAAAAUAAAAUAAAAAAUAAAUAAAAAAAGGAGAUCACAUACAAAGCUAUUGUUAGCUUAAUCUGACAUCUUAAACUGGUAAUUUAACAUGUUCAUUCCACAUUUGUCACUUUUCAAGCCUAUUUAAAAAAUAAAUCCUUAACAACAAUAAAAAAGAAAAAGCGCAAAAGAAACCAAUUCAGAUUGCAGCUCAGCAAACCAAUAAUAGCUAACCAAACAAACAAACAAUCCACUAAUUCACAUUCAUCACAACAAAUUUUGAGACCUCAAUCAAGAUCUCCAAGAGGAUCAAAAAAGAAUUAUCAAGAAAAAGUUGCUGAAUCGAUGACAAUAGCAGAUCCUAACGCCUCCGUUCAGUAGAUGAGGGAAAAAAAUAUAGGAAAAGUUACCCAAAAUCAGAGGCUUCUCAGCCCUAACCUGUCAUUAAAACAGUUCAACUCUUUUCUUUUUUUCCGGAAAUUUUCUAAGCAACCAAACAGAGCGUAAAAAAUAGAAAUGAAAAGAAAAAACAGGAAGAAGAGUGGAGAGAAAAGUUCCGCACCUGAGAAGUGGAGGAAGAGAAGGUGGAAGGCCUUGGAAUGCGCCUUUUUCAACGUGAUCUCCGUUUUCUAUUUUCCCAAAAUACCCCUUUUAUAAAUAUAUAUAAUCACGAUUGAUCUCCCUGUUUGAGUGGAUAAUGACCGCCAAUGUGUCCCCUUUUCUAUGUUCCCAAAAUACCCCUCUUUUAAAUAUAUAAUCACGAUUGGUCCUCCAGUAUGAGUGGAUCAUGACCGCCCAUUUGUCUGACUUUUUUCCCAAGACUUUGCUUAAUUUUAGGCGGACCAACAUAUAAAAAAGGGAGGAGAAAACAUAGAAGAAAAUAAAAUAUAAAAAAUAAUAAUAAAAAAUUAUUUUUAAAUUAAUUUUUCAUUUAUUAUAUAAAAUUAAAUAAUUUGAAAAUAUAUAAAGUUAAUUUUAAUUAUAUUUAAUUUUAUUUUUCACAUUAAAUCAAAUAUAGAAAAAUUAUUAUUUUUAAAAUCUUUUUGUCUUUCUUUAGAAAAAUUAUGGUUUUGGCUUCUGCUUAAGCUUCUAGCUAAAGGCAAACAUCAAGAAGGUAUCCAAACAAUACAAAAUAUGAAACAUCACACUAUAAACCUCAAUAUUUUAUCAAACCUUCAAAGCUAAAACCCUAAACCCAGGAACUUAGAAAGGUACAAAUGUAUAUGAGAUAUGGACACUGAGUGAUAUCAGCUGGUACAGAACCCAGAAAAUCAGAGGUAAGAAAAACAUCAAAGACAGAAAAUGAAGCUGACUAGUGGCCAUUCAAAUGAAUCCAGACAACCCAAAUAUCAAAGCUCACUUGCUUCAAUUCCCUGAAUUUUCGAAAGCACCAUAGAUGAAUUUCAUGCUAAUUGGUCUGGCGCAACCGACCCUCCUGCACUGACUUUUUCCUUCACUAAUGGCUGUGGCUCUGUCCAAAAAAGAUGUAGAAGACAGUUAGAAUUUUCUUCCAACAUCACCAUCACAGCGUGUCUAAAUCACAAAUAUGGUGUGCCAAAAACAAUUCAAAAUGGGUUAGAAGCUUAAAAAAUAGCAGGAAGGCAACUUGUCAAGAAUACAGUAGAGUGCUAACAUAAUUUUAGGUCAUGCCUCAAGACAAUAAGAUAAAACAGGCAGGUUUAAAGGCCAAAAUCAUGCGCUUAAACAAGGCAAACUGCCUGUCAAUAGCAUCAAAUGAAGCCAUGGUCAGAUCACCCCAAGGGCACCUUCGGCAUCCAGGGGUCGUGAACCAACCAUAGAACCCUGUUCAAUAAGUGGAACGCAUUAGCUGUCCACUGUCCAGGUCAGGCAGUAAGGGUCGGAGAAGUGCAAUCACUCAUUCUUACAACCAUCAUUCUUUAGACCAAAGAGUCGGGCGGAGAAGGGGAAAAACUCUCCAUUCCUGGUUCUCCUCUAGCUAGGUCCUCUAAAACCACAAGAAUCCUUAGUUAUAAUGGGAUUCCAACUAAGCACCUUUUCAGAUUUUGAGAAGAGUUGCUCUUUGGAGAGUACUGUACGAUGAAAGUUGUAAGCAGUGUUCAAGGAGGAAUUAUUGUCUAUCAUUGGCCUCUAUGGUAGAAUCAGUCGGGGGGGCCUGAGAGGCGGUGGUUUACACUGUGGCGGAUGUCAGCGAUUCAAGUCCUCUUAUCUCCAACUCGUGAACUUAGCCGAUACAAAGUUAUAUGAUAGCACCCAAUUUUCCGAUUCAGCAAUUCGAUCUAUGGCCAGUUUCAUCCAACCUCCACAUGCUAGCAGUAGCAAUAGCAAACUUGCUCCAUACUGAAUUGAACAAACAAAUAAGUACAAUUCUUCAACCUAUAAUCACAGAUUCUGAUGUCUUCCCUCAUGUAAUUCCACAAGAGUGUAGGGUAUAAAAAAUUGUAGAUUCAGAACCUGGCUCAAACAACUCCCAAUACUCUUCUGUCAGGAACAGAAAAUUGACAAAUGGCUGGAAAUAAAUCUCUAUAGCUGAAGAUGAAAGAAGACUAACUUCCAUUUUUCUAGGCACUCUAACCUAACUAUGGGCUCACUAUAUUUCCUCCAUUUAUUCUAAGGCAUGAGCCUUGCAUAGUAAUGCUACAAAGGAUUGCGUUUUUUUUUUUUUUUUUGUGCACCAAUCAUUUGAUAUCUGAAGCAUUCCAAAAUGAUUUAUCACAUCUACUUCUUGGAGUACAACAAACUCUACCAUACAAAAAGUGUUUCUCAAGCUUUAUUAAUCCCGAAAAUUAACAGUCAUGGGAUUGCUUGUGCACCCUUUUUUUAUCAAGAGAUAUAGCAGUUGAUGUUAUAUGAGACAAACAAGUGUUCCAAAUGAGAUUGCAUAAAGAAUUUUGGACCAGGAUUUUUUUUUUUUUUUUUCUUAUCAUAAAACAUGGCAGAGCACCUCAGAUAUGAUAAUUGGCAAUUCUAGCCAAUUAAAUAAAGAAUAUCAAAAAAAAAAAUUAAAGAUUCAACUCAUAACCAUCACUCAGCUUUAGAUUCUGUUUACAAGAAGAACAUAUUAAAAAAUAUUUAUAAAAUAAUGUUAAGUUUAUUACUAAGAUAUUAGUCAUCCAUUUGAUGACAUUAAUGCAAGCUUAUUUUAUCACCCAACUCAAGAGCUCAGCCCUACUUGUUUAGCAAGUUAGUUUGGAACUAAGACUCAAGAACAGCUCAUAUAUGCCAAUAAUGCCAAAGAACCAAACAAAAGUAGUUCAGUUUGUUUACAAGGCUUUGUGGAGGCAUGUGCAAAAACACUGAAGCUUUUAGCUUCAUUUAUCUAGCAGGAAACUGAACUCUUAAAAAGAUCAUAUUAAUUCUAAUUUCCUACAAUGUCAUCAAACAUAGACAUUCACCCUUCAUAGGCAAGAACAUGAGGAAGGUGUUCGAACAAGGGAUUUUAAACCUUGUCUGUCAUAGAACCUUUACCAGUUGAGCUACCAAGCAUUUUCAAAGACAUCAAGAAAUGGAUGCUUUCACAGAAUGUGCUUUCAAAACCAUCCAUAGACAAAACUACAGUAGGGGCUAAUUCCUAAUAAGAACUAUUUAGAAAUAGUUUAGAUCUAAAUGUUUUAGGUGAAGAAAGAACAAGGAUAAAUGGUUCAACCAUAUGCAAUGAUUAUGAUGAAAACCUACAAAUGCACCAGUACAGUGGAGUUAAUUAGAUUGAACUUGAAAUAGAUAAACAGAAGAAAUGAGAAAUGGCAUGACUUCCUAGGAUCUGACAAAUGAUGUGGCUCUAUAUAGAACUGGAUAGCAAAGAUAUGGUUAACGAUCCAAACCCAAGAAUUAGAUCCAGGCUAUUUUGGUUUGAAUCAAUGAAUAAUAGUGUGAAAAUCAUCAAUUUGGCUCUGACCACAAGAAGUUGAAACAUAUUGCCAGUCAGACAAAUGCUUACAGAACUUACAAGGGCACAAGUUUUCAAUGCUCUUAAGAUCAAAUGGAUAUGUAACAAGAAACUGAAAAUGCAUAACUUGCGUGGCUCUAUAUCUCAACUUUUCAUUUCCCAGAUAAACUUACACCCGCUUCUCUCAUUGCAUAAAUUUUCAAUCAACCAAUAUCAAUUGCAACAUUUCUCCCGAGUAAUGUAAUGAGAUUAUGAUUAUAACAUCAUGAUGUGUUACCAUAAUAUGUUAUAAGGGUUUUGCAUUAUAAAUUAUCUUAUAUUCUUGACUAAUUCAUAUGUUAUGUAAUUGCAUGCAAAUGAAGCCUGGAUUGUUAUACCGAAAAUAAACAAGGUUUUAAUAAAAUCAAAUAAAACAUACUGGAUAUAAGGGCCUUUGGUCUGGAUUUGAACAAAAUCCGAUGGCGAAUAAUUCCCACUACUUCCAAAUCUACACUAGAUGAUUUACUGUCUCCAUUCUGGUUUGCAUCCAAGUGCCUUGUUUUUUUAAGUACCACAAAUGGCUUCUUCAAUGGCACUUUUGACCCUGACAAUUCAUGAUACCCAACCGUAAAAGUGUAGUUUUCCUGAACACAAAACCCAAAAGAAAAUGGCUGUCAAAGCAUAAAAAUGCUGUUACAAACUCAUGGGCUGCAAUUUCAUGCAAGAAUGCUAAGCACAAUAUAAUAUCAACUGAUAGUAGUUACAAACUAAUCCUAGAAAUACUCGCACCUUAUUUUCGCUUCAAAUAACCAAUACCCUGUUGGUCAUAAAACUCUAAUCUGAUAUUUGUUUGUAAGAUAUGCUUGUAAAGCUUAUAAGUAAAAACCAAAACAAUUUUUUAAUAUCAAAGGUUAGGGCCAUCACCAAUCUUCCAUGCAAAGGACCCAUUAAAAGCACCAGGGCCUUAUUAGUUACAACAUCAUCUUUACAGAAUAAGAUUUGUUUCUUAUAAUACAUUAGUAAGAAAAGCAUUUUUCCAAGAAGGAAUUUAAUGAAUGAAGACUAGUGUAAAAAACUUGGAUUUAUCCAUUUCAUCUGAAGGAAUUUUCUGUCGAUUGCCCUUAAGUUGUGUUGAAACCAAUUUCAACUAGCCCCAAGUGGGGCCCACUUCUUAAUGGAAUUCCAAUAUGUAUUCAAAUUCCUUCAAAAAAUUUCCCUUGGGCCUUUUCCCAACAUCAAACUUUAUCAAUUUCGAUUCCACCCAUUUUCUUUUCUCACAAAUCCCCCAUUCCAAACAGUGUGAAUAUUAGUUCCACUACCAACCCACACCCACCACCCCUUUCCCAGCUCCUAAAACAAACGCAAGAAAAACCCAAUCAACCAUUCAUGCCAAAAAGAAAAACAAUAAUUUCCUCAUACAUUAAGAAAGGAAAUCCAUUCUUUGGAGAGACCAAUAGCAGAAAAUGAAACCAUUUCUAAAAAUAACAGCAAGUUUGGGUGAGGAAAUACCAACCUGUGAAGAAGGGCGGCAAAGUUGUCCAAUUUCAAGGUUCUGGACAGUGCCUUGGAAAGAGGGCUGCACUUCAACUACACCUUGCAACUCUACAAUUGCCCAUUCUGGGCACUUCUCUUCUCCACAACUACACUUCACCUGAAUCUGCAUUUCAACCUUUUUUUUCCCCCUCUUCUUUGGGCGGGUUUCUUCUUCUUCUUCUUCUUUUUUGGUGGUUUUUUGGUUGUGUUUGAUCCCAAACAGAUCAACGGUAUGAUCCAAAAUUGACCAAAAGCAGAGGAGGGAAAGGUAGUGGAGGCAAAGCAAAUGGGUUUUGAAUCAGGGCGGUGGGUUGGGUUAAUGUUGGGAUGGUUCAGUAAUACGACGUCGUUUUAGUGUCGACAAGAAGACAGGAGCAGUGUGCAUUUAGUACUGGCUUACUAAGAUGGGAUUUUGUGAAAAAUGUCAAAAACUAUUUUAAACGAAAAAUGAAUUCCAUUUCCCUUAUUUAAAUGUCAUUUUAUUAUAAAAUAAGAAAUAAAAUAAAACAUAUAAAAAUAAUUUAAAAUUGAAUAUACCCUUAGAUUCUUUGGCUUUGAAAUAAUAAUAAAAUUUGGAAAAAUAGAGAAAAUGUCCUUUCAAUGAAAAUUAAUUUUAUUUUCGUUCAUUAACAUAUUUUUGAAAUUAAAAAUACUAACAAAAAAUUCAUUAACCAAAAUUUUUCCUGUAAUAUGUAAAGCAUGACAACACCACCAAGCAAAAACAUUUAGAAGUGGGAAAAAAGAGGUGAAAGUAUUUUAAAGAACCAAAAAAGAGUGCUUGAACAGAAGACCAAAACAUCAAAAAGCAUUCGCAGGAAUGUAAGAAGAUGGGUGUAUGAGAAGGCCAGACAACUUGAGAACUUAUUGAGUUGUGGGCAUUGAGCAAUCUCCUUGGCAAUUGAUUUCAAAUCCAUAUGGGGAGAUUAUGAACAUUCAGCAGUUAAAGAAACAAAAGAAGGCAGUCACAUGUCAAAAGGCCAGGAAGUGUCUUUUUCUACAUAGUUAAUUGUACAUACUGAGGUCUCUACUAGUAUAUCAACUGUUUCUGAUAUUCCUUGCUUUUAUCUUCACCUCGUUGGUGUAGACCACCGGUCGCACCUGAACUUGGGAAGCUGGCAUUUCCCUCUGGCUGGAUUGUGGGCCCCUGUAGUUCCUUGCUCUUAUCUUCACCAGGUUGGCGCAGCCCCGUCUGACCUGAACUCAGGAAGCGGGCAUUUCCGGCUUGCUGGAAUAUAGGCUGCACAGGUGCUUGUGGUUUGGGUGCUGGAUUUUGGGCCAUGACAUUAUGCUGAAAUGAGAAGUCAGUUUGAUGAAAGUUACCCAACCCCAAGUUCAAGCCAUUGUCUAUUUGGGCUGGAGCUUUUAGAGAUGCUUUGCUUUUAUCUUCACCGGGUUGGUAUCCACCAGUCUCACCUGAACUUGGGAAGUUGACAUUUCCGUCUUUCAGGAAUGUAGGCUGUACAGGUGCUUGUAGUUCAGGUGCUGGAUUUUCUGCCACAUCAUAUUGCUGGAAGGGAAAGUCAGUUUGUUGCAAGUUGCCCAAGCCAAAGUUUGAGCCAUUGUUGGUUUGGGCGUGUGGUGAGCUGAGUUGCUGCUGGAAGUAGUCCUCGAUGAACAGAUGAUCACUCGUAAGAGUUUUUAUUGCAAAUUCAAUACAUGGGUCAGUCCAUGAAUCCCCAAAAGGCAACUCAUGAGGGGGUUCUGGAUUCCCGGCCCCCUUAUUUUCAUCUUCAGCCACUCCAGCAUGCUCUAUGGGAAUAGGACCAUCCCCCAGAGGCAAGGAAAGAGAGCACCCGUGCUUCUCCUUGUCCUUAUUCUCAGCCUCAACCUUUUCAGCUUGCUCUUCUGGAGGAACCAAGUCUUCAACAGGAGUUUUACCACUAUUUGAUUCCAAUAACACUUCCAACUUUUGGGAAGGUUGAAAGGAGCACUUUGUCUUAGGCUCAGCCUCAGCAAUACCUGCUUCUAUCUCACCUGAAUGUCCAGCUGCAACUCGACUACCUCGAUUAGUGGUUUUCAGCUCUGGUGUCACAUCAGCUUCAAGCCCAGCAAGUCGUUUUGAAGCUCGACGUGGCAAGUCAUGAGAUUUUUUGUUCCUGUAAUUGCACAGACCAGGUUGGGUCUUCCUUUUUCCACAAACUUUCGCCCUAUUUUCCAGUGGUUGUUUUUCUGCAAGGGGCUCAACCAAAGGCGCUGAAUCUAACACAUUUUUAGCAUCAUCACUUUUCUCUCCUAUAGGCUCUGAACCCUUGGCUUCUGAGAGGUAUAAGCUGCUCUCUGUGACUUUUGCACCUGCAGCAUACAGUAAAUUCAAAUUGGGUGCUACCUUUUACCAUAUCUCUCAAAGGCUUAUUAUCUAUUGAACCCAUCAACCAAAUCUCCUAUUUUAGGACAAUCAUUCUUGGUUCCAAAUUUCAUGUAGAUGACCAGAGAUAUAAUGGCCUCUCUUGUUCCAAUUUUGAAGUCAAAUGUUCAAUGUGACAAGACUACCUACUAUAGUACCUAUUUCAUGUUCUCAUGAAAAGCCAGUCUGUACAUCACUGGAAAAAAGGCAUCUAAAGUUCAGAUUAGAACAGCUUGCUAAAAGCAGCAUUUGGAUUAUACCUUCUAAGGAUGUCUAGGCAAAAUUCCUAAAUAUGGGUUCCACACAGCCCAAUAUGAUUUUUAAGUGUUUUGGAAAAGCAUGCUUUCACUCAAACACAAUGCAGGAAAUAGAAUGGAGUUUUAUAUAACUUUUUAAAUGUCAAAAUUACCUUUAUUCUCACAAAAGUUUGUUUAAAACAGUGCUCCCAAAUGCAAAAUCAAACGCAUAAAAACAGCAUUGGCUUCUGCUUCUGCUUCUACUACUAAACACCAAAAGCUACAGCUAUCCCAAAUGGGCAUAAUACAAACCAGUCCAUGCCCAAGCAAUUCAAGUGGAAAACGAUAGGGAAAGAAAAAGAAAUAAAUAAAUGGAAAUUUCAAGCAAAACAUAUCAAAUGCAAAACAAAACAGGGUCAUGUAUAUAAAACUAGUGCAAAAAACCUGUGCUCCCCUCUGGGCUAGAACAUCAACCAACUCACUCAACAACUAGGCUUCCAAUUAAAAGGAAGAUAGCAAAAUCCCUCACAAGAUCCAUGAUUCUCCUAAUCUGGUGAACAAACUGCGACCACCUUGUCCCAUCAGAAAAUACACAGGAAAUAACAGUCAAAAAAUCCCCAUCAACAGCAGUUAGAUACCAAGAAAAAGCUCCUUUUCAUCAGUCUUUUUCCAGAAACAUUCCCAUUGAUCUUUUUGAGCAAUUUGGCACAUAGUCUGUCCUAUUCCCAAUUUCCAGAGGUUUUACAUUGACUUCUUCAAUUUUAUCUAUGGAAUAUGCCUGUCCAACUCUCAAUCUAGGGUUUCAACAAACACCUUUGUCUCAGCUUUACAGAGAUUGUUGGUUUUAACACUAAGAAUUUUUCAGGUAUGUCCUUCACACUAAAGAUUUUAUAUGUUUGAUAUCCGGUGUUCCCAAAUGGGUAUCUUUUUUGUAAAUUUUAUAUUUUGUUUGAAUAUUUGAAAUAAUGAUGUAAAUGAUUAACUCUCUGAAGUGUUAUUUAAUAUUUCUUUUUUAAAAUGUUCAAUUACUUGUUUUGAUGUUUUCUUUGGGCUAGAUCCCUCAAUAUUUUACACCUAAAUGUUAUCCCUCAUAAUAGAAAGGAUCACACUAAGGAACCAUGGUAUUUACUAUUUUCAUUUUGGUGAAUUGAGUUCUUAUUUUUCAUUAAUCAUUUCAGUUUAUGGAUAGGACCCUCCUUCCCAAUAUGUUCCAUGUAUAUAAAUUCGAAAUAUGCCAUUUUAGGUUCUAUUCUUUCUUAAUAUGUUCUAUUUUUUUUUUUUUCACUAUCUUCUUUUAUCCCCACAUGUUUGGAUAAUCUUUACUAGUUUUAAUUCAAUAAAAUGGUGUUUUCAUGGCACUUUAUAGGAUUCUAAUAGAUUCAUACCAAAGAUUAGAAACAAAGGAAUGAUAAAGUUAGCGAAUGAAUGAGAGGAAACAAGAAAAGCAUGUCACUGUAAGAACUUUACAUUGAUCAGAAGUAUGUUCAGAAUUCAGUAGGCAUUCACCUGAACAGGCAGAUUUAGGGAUUCCUUCAUCGCUUGCUAUCUUGCCCAAUUUCAAGCUCUGACCCCUUGUAAUCUGUCUUCUUGCUCCACCACCUGCUAAUUCUUGUUUUCUGGGAACAACAGGUGACUAAGAGAAGCAGGAUAGAAAAAAGAAAAAACAAAGUUAAAACUUUCCAUGAAUCAAUGUUAACCUGCAGAAUGAUUUCAAUUGGAACAGCAAAGAAUAAUGAAAAAUAAUCUCAAGAAUGAAAAAGCAAUUAUGAAAUUUGUUGUAGCACCUAAUUUAUAGGAAAAUAAAUGCAAUAGAUAAAUCAAGGUUUUUUCCCCCUUGUCUUCAUAAAUUUCAUGGGAAAACAUGAUGGGAAAUAUGAGGUCAUUCUGUAAUAAAAGCAAAUAAGAUGCUGAAUUCUUAGCCACAUGAAAACACAAAACUAAAAAUUAAAAGAAACCCAGAUCUGAUAUCAUGGACACAAAUCUAUCCUAUUGUAUAAUUUCACCAGCCCAUCACUGCAUCAGAUGAAAGAAAAUAUUGACAAUUCCUUGGAGCAUACAUAAUUCCAUGCUGAAUUGUUUCCAUGCACACCAUUGAAAAUCAUCUUACUGUCAUAAGGCAUCCCAAAUGUAGGCAAGAGUCGAGUUUGUAAGCCAAAUGGUGAUGUAAGAAUCAAGUUCGUAAGGUGAAAGGUGACAGAUUUGGUCUGGGUGAAGUUUCUCUAACAAAUAGUGUCAUCCUAGGCAAAUGGUGUGGAUGUUUCCAAGGAAAGGUGACACUCUUUGCAUUUUAUUGGGGUUUUGAUUGUGAGAUGGUACAAAAAAAACUCAUUUCUAUGAACAUCUGUGGUGGGUUUUAUCUGCCCUUCUAAGUUUCCAAAACUUUAUUUGCUUUCCAAGUUUAGAAAUUCCACCAUCUCCCCAUCUAGACCAUGCACUCCUUUAACAUCUUAGAAUUUUAACUUUCAUCACAAUUUGACUAACAAAGAAAUUGAUGACGACUCUUCCUAAUUGCACUCUUUAUUCCCCAUCUUUUCCCAACAACCAAGUAUGGUAGUUAUCGCCCUCAAGUUUAUCUUUUACUUGUACCUUCUUUCUAGCUUUGACCAAAUAUGAGAGAUGAGUUUCCUUUCCACCAACCAAUUUCAUCUAGAGAUCUAAAGCACCACCUAAAGUAAGAGCUUUUGCAUAGCUUAUAGCCAACAGAAACACAAAUACCAACAUGUUGCAGCUGAGAAGGCACCAUAAAGUCUUUGGCCACAAUUGGUGUCUCGUGCAUAGGAACAAAGAAGACAAUGGAUUUCCUUUUCCUAUACCAUCUAGGGGCAUUGAACUAAUGCCAUGAACUUUUCAGACUCACUAGAUUGGAUUGGGUCCCUUGAAAGGUGGCAUAUAUGAUUGUUUACAUGGUUUGGUCAGGGUGAGGAUGGGAAGUGGAGAGGAAAAGGUUGUUCACAGUAUCUUCUCUUUGCGUUAGGCUUUUACAGUGGGUGGCUUCCUUGUUUUUCUUGGGAUUGUGGUUUGUGAGCCAAGCAAUGGCUUUGGGGGUGUGGUUUUGGUGAGGUAGGAUCUUAUUGCUUGUUUUUCAUGGUUGGUUUGUUAGUCUUGUACUCCUAGCAUUUUAGGGCUUGGUUAUGUCGAUUUGGGAGCCCUAUGGCUUGGGUAGUGGUUUGUUGUUUUCUUCUUUCGCCUGCUUUUUGGCACUGUUUGUAUAAUGCAUGUGUACUUGGCACACCUUUCUUUGUGCUUUAAAUAUAUUUGCUUAUUUACCUACCUUAAAAUAAAUAAAUAAAAUAUAAAAAAAUCAAGAGCAUAGUACCAUAGCAUGUGGCCAUUUUCCAUCAACUCUGGGUGAUCUACUUGGAGACAAAUUCCAAAAGUUUUAAGGAAUUUAUAAUAGUUGAAGACUCAAUGUAAACACCUUUGUUCAUCCUUAUGGACGUCAAUUUUUUCAAACGGCUUAUGUACCUCACUGAGUAUGAUCAUGCUAUAUUAGAGAUCUACUUGUUGCAUGAGUAGGAGAAUUAUGGAGUGCAUAUUAAGUGAGUUCAUCUUCCAUUAAGUUGUCUGAAAGUAUGAUACCCAAGCCUUUCAGUUCCACCCAACAUACCUGUGUUGACACAACAUGACAUAGUUGUAAGUAUGGGAUCUUUGUUGAGCACUCCUAUUUUACUUUAGGUGUGGUUGUUUAUUGAUAUCCUUUUAUUCUUUCAACUUUCUUAGUAAUAAUUACAUUAGAUAAAAAGAAUAGUUGGUUGAAAAAUGAAUUUUUGUAAGAAUAUGUAGACGGAAGCUUUUAACAAGUAUAUUUUUAAUUGAUUUUUCUUUUAUUGCACCAUAUCCCAAUAUCCAUGCUUGUUUUUUUGAAUCCUUUUUAGUAAAGUCUUUGUAUUCUAAAAUUUGAGUUAUAAAGGAUCAAACAUUUAAACACAUACCCACAUCCAACACUCAUACCUAGAACCCUUGCAACAUAGGCUUGAAGUUCUGUGAUGAAUGCUUAUUAGGUAAUCGAGAUCAAUUAAUUAGUGGUAGCAUUUUCCUGGGUCAUAGGGAACCAUGGUUAGAACUUACUCUAAAUCUAAUAGGAAAAAACCGACUAUAGAGACAAAGAUGCUAUCUUUGUUGGAAGACUUAAUCCAUGGCAAGUCCUUCGGGUUUCAAUAACUUCAUAUACAAGGGUAACUCAACCAUAGUUAUAUGAUGGCCCUUUAAAAGGAAAAAAGGGUCUUCAAAGUUAGACUUCCUGUUAUGGAAAGUUUUUGAUCUGUAUACAAAGCUAGGAUGCUCCCUUUUAUGAAUACAACGCUUGGCUUUUAGUAGAUGUCUUGGCCAAGUGAGGUGGUUUUAUGCCAAAGGACUUUGCAAGUGAUCUCAUCCCCAUAAGAGGUUAUUUGCACUUUCUCAAUUGAUUACUCUUUUAGGAUGUCAGCUUUAUUCUAUGCUUUUUCUUGUACACCUUUUAUAGAUUCAUUCGUUUACUCUUGACUUUAAUGCAAUGAAUUUGAUGUUUUUGACCAAACUAAGUAAAUAAUAAUGUCAACUCUUGCAUUAGUACACUCUUGGUGGAGAAGGAUAAGGCCAAGAGUGUAGAAGGAUAAGGCCAUCGGACCAUUGGAAGAUGGUAGGAUCUAAUAACCAGCCAUAUAAGUGCCUUACUUGAGCAAAAUUAGCACCACAACGUAAAGACAGUUUUCCAUGGGAUUAGUAUAGGCAUUAAGUUAGUAAUGUUCCAUGGUUGUAGCUCAAAGGUCAUGUCACAAUGAACUAGAGGUCUUGAGGUCUUGAGGUUGAGCUUUCUCGGUAUUUAAGUGGUAUAGGGUCCAAGCGUUGGGCCCAUAUCUUACUUUCAUACCUAGAGAAAGGGAUUAAUCAAAAAACCAAAAAAACUUAAACAUUA